GACGAACGCUGGCGGCGUGCUUAACACAUGCAAGUCGAACGGAAAGGCCUGCUUUCCCUUGUGGAUUGCGGGUACUCGAGUGGCGAACGGGUGAGUAACACGUGAGUGAUCUGCCCCCAACUUGGGUAUAAGCCUGGGAAACUGGGUCUAAUUCUCGAUAGGACUGCAGGGUGGUGCCUGUGGUGGAAAACGAUUUUCUAGUGGUUGGGGAUGAGCUCGCGGCCUAUCAGCUUGUUGGUGGGGUAAUGGCCUACCAAGGCGGCGACGGGUAGCCGGCCUGAGAGGGUGGACGGUCACAUUGGGACUGAGAUACGGCCCAGACUCCUACGGGAGGCAGCAGUGGGGAAUAUUGCACAAUGGGCGGAAGCCUGAUGCAGCGAGGCCGCGUGGGGGAUGACGGCCUUCGGGUUGUAAACUCCUUUCGACCGAGAGGAAGCCACCUGGUUGGAAGGGUGGUGACGGUAGUGGUAGAAGAAGCACCGGCUAACUACGUG
Molecule: ribosomal RNA, 494 nt
Filed under: uncultured bacterium
Lineage: Bacteria
Description: partial 16S ribosomal RNA
Rfam family: Bacterial small subunit ribosomal RNA
Source: RNAcentral